This is an RNA transcript of Momordica charantia (bitter melon), 1810 nucleotides long. It is a transcript of the gene named putative purine permease 11, with no coding region annotated. Lineage: Eukaryota; Viridiplantae; Streptophyta; Magnoliopsida; Cucurbitales; Cucurbitaceae. The record is from RefSeq and is a predicted model, not a curated record.
UCAAAAUCCCUUUUUCUCUAAUUCUCUACUCACUGUUUCCGAUUGUUUUCUUUCAGAGACAGAGCUUCAGAUUUCAGCACCAUGGCAGACAACCAACAACCAAUAUUGGAUAAAGAGGGAGCUUCUGGUGAUGAAUUGCCUUUAGCUAAUCUAAAACGCUGGCAAUGGUGGUUCUUGGUGGCACUCAACAUCUUUUUCCUGAUUGUUGGUCAAGCUGCUGCUGUUUUACUUGGAAGAUUUUACUAUGAUCAGGGUGGAAACAGUAAAUGGAUGGCAACCGUUGUUCAAACUGCUGCAUUCCCAAUUCUUUUUAUCCCGCUCUUUCUUUCCCAUUCCACCAAGGGCACUUCGCCUUCGGCGUCCAUUAUCCCGCCUUCGAUUCUAAUACUCUGCUUGGUCUAUUUUUCGCUUGGAUCGCUUAUAGCUCUAGAUAACUGGAUGUACUCAACUGGGCUCUUAUACCUUUCUGCCUCCACUUACUCACUUGUUUGUGCUAGCCAAUUAGCUUUCAAUGCAGUUUUCUCCUACUUCAUCAACUCUCAGAAGUUCACAAUUUUGAUUUCGAAUUCUGUGAUUAUCCUCUCCUUGUCUUCUGCACUUUUGGCUGUCAACGACGAUUCUGAACGACCUGCUGGAGUGUCGAAGUCGAAAUAUUUCAUUGGAUUCAUUUGUGCCCUGGGAGCUUCAGCAUUGUAUUCUUUGCUGCUUUCUCUUAUGCAGCUUUCCUUUCAAAAGGUUCUGAAGAGGGAGACCUUUUCUGUGGUCUUGGAGAUGCAAAUCUAUACAUCCUUGGUCGCCACUUGUGUUUCGGUUGUUGCCCUUUUCGCUAGCGGUGAAUGGAGGAGUUUGCCUGGGGAGAUGGCAGGUUAUGGUAAGGGAAGAGUUUCAUAUGUGUUGACUUUGGUGGGAACGGCUGUGGCUUGGCAGACAUGUUCGGUUGGCGUCGUUGGAUUGAUUUUCAUCGUCUCUUCCCUCUUCUCCAAUGCAAUCAGUACCGUCUCCUUAGCCAUUACACCCUUAGCUGCACUUGUAGUUUUCCAUGACAAGAUGAAUGGUGUGAAGAUCAUUGCCUUGCUUCUCGCCUUAUGGGGCUUUGCAUCUUAUUUAUACCAAAACUAUAUGGACGAAUCCAAGGCACAAAGAAGGCGAAACAAAACCGACGAACCCUGCGACGAAAGGUCCCCUUGUUGAUGGACCAUCCGAUGUAAACUGCAUAUAGCUUAGGAGCACAGAUUCAUCUGAAGUCUCAUUUUUUUACAAUAAUCUUACUCAACAAAUUCCAUAAAGGCGAAGCCGGGCACGAAGUCGUCUCGGUACACAGGGAGAAGGAAUGUCGUUUCGUUCGGGAAGUAGAAGUUCGUGACGUGACAAAUUGCUAUUGGAUUGAAAAUUUUAGUCAGCUCGAGUGAGAGAUAAUAUAAGAUCUCAACUACACAAAAAGAGUAGAUAGGAGAGUUUGCUUAGGGUAUGGCCUUAUUGAAAUAGAACGACCUUGAACAUUUUCUUGUUCCUACUCUAUGGCAAGUUUUGUUUGAUAAUCAUGAUCGGAAAAUAGCACUGAACAAGCAAGGGCUAAAARCUUCUUUUACCCAGUCUUCUCCCAUGGGCUCAGAACAGGGUCGACUACUUAUCCCAGCUCUAAAGGCAGCUAAUGACUCAAUAGUUCAAGUUAAGUCGACUGUGAUUCUUCGUGUUCCACUGUGAAUAGUCUCGUUAUCGUAUUCGGUUGUUUUCCCGACUUCCGUACCUUCUUCUUAGAAGCCUUCAACUUUCACUGGAUUCACUAAGCUUUAAAUAUUACUUCUCUGAA